CGGGUGAGUACAACAUAGGAAAUCUGCCUUAGGGUGGGGGACAACAGAGGGAAACUUCUGCUAAUACCCCAUAUGAGCUUGGUUGAAAUACCAAUCUUGAAAGUUCCGGCGCCCUAAGAUGAGCCUGUGCCUGAUUAGCUAGUUGGUGGUGUAAUGGACUACCAAGGCGACGAUCAGUAGCUGGUUUGAGAGGAUGAUCAGCCACAAUGGGACUGAGACACGGCCCAUACUCCUACGGGAGGCAGCAG
RNAcentral lists this ribosomal RNA (248 nucleotides) under uncultured bacterium. Its description in RNAcentral is "partial 16S ribosomal RNA". It matches the Rfam family "Bacterial small subunit ribosomal RNA", at positions 103 to 354 of the family's 1533-position model. The record is from RNAcentral.